UACGUAGGGAGCAAGCGUUGUCCGGAAUCAUUGGGCGUAAAGCGCGCGUAGGUGGCCUCAUAAGUCCGUUGUGAAAGUCAAAGGCUCAACCUUUGAAAGCCGAUGGAUACUGUGAGACUAGAGUACGGAAGAGGCGAGUGGAAUUCCUGGUGUAGCGGUGGAAUGCGCAGAUAUCAGGAGGAACACCAAUAGCGAAGGCAGCUCGCUGGGACGUACUGACACUGGAGGCGACGAAAGCGUGGGGAGCGAACAGG
RNAcentral lists this ribosomal RNA (254 nucleotides) under uncultured bacterium. RNAcentral describes it as "partial 16S ribosomal RNA". It matches the Rfam family "Bacterial small subunit ribosomal RNA", at positions 524 to 776 of the family's 1533-position model. The record is from RNAcentral.